AUGAACGCUGGCGGCGUGCCUAAUACAUGCAAGUCGAGCGAACAGAUAAGGAGCUUGCUCCUUUGACGUUAGCGGCGGACAGGUGAGUAACACGUGGGUAACCUACCUAUAAGACUGGGACAACUUCGGGAAACCGGAGCUAAUACCGGAUAAUAUGUUGAACCGCAUGGUUCAAUAGUGAAAGAUGGUUUUGCUAUCACUUAUAGAUGGACCCGCGCCGUAUUAGCUAGUUGGUGAGGUAACGGCUCACCAAGGCAACGAUACGUAGCCG
This 271-nucleotide ribosomal RNA is filed under the name uncultured bacterium. Its description in RNAcentral is "partial 16S ribosomal RNA". It matches the Rfam family "Bacterial small subunit ribosomal RNA", at positions 29 to 289 of the family's 1533-position model. The record is from RNAcentral.